CUUCUUUAAAGAACGUCAGUCACUUGGAGAGCCUUCAGACUUGGACUGCUGUUUGAGAAGAUCUGCACACGUCUGGCGUACGGAAUUGUAAAACUCGGAGAAGAAGGGGUCACCACACAACAUGCUCCUCUGGCUGUUUUUGGCUGCUGUUCCCCAUGUAGCUGAUUUGAGUGACUGGGGAGCCGAAUACAAACCAAAGACGAUCUGCGCACUUGGAGGGUCAACUGUGAGGAUUAACUGCACAUACAAACAUCCAGCAGAUGUUAAUGUUACAAAGAAAAUGUGGCUUUUUGGUCAUAAGGAAAACGAGACAACUAAAGAUCAAAUAAUAGCAGAAUAUCCUAACAAUGGGCAGAGAGUACCCAA
Molecule: long non-coding RNA, 366 nt
Organism: Erpetoichthys calabaricus (reedfish)
Lineage: Eukaryota; Metazoa; Chordata; Cladistia; Polypteriformes; Polypteridae
Exons: 3
Source: RefSeq, a predicted model, not a curated record